GCCUAGUUAGCUUAGUUGGUAGCGCGUCUGUCUUGUAAGCGCUAGGUCGCGGGUUCGAUUCCCGCCCGGGGCA
Molecule: transfer RNA, 73 nt
Filed under: Diaphorina citri (Asian citrus psyllid)
Lineage: Eukaryota; Metazoa; Arthropoda; Insecta; Hemiptera; Psyllidae
Rfam family: tRNA
About the family: Transfer RNA (tRNA) molecules are approximately 80 nucleotides in length. Their secondary structure includes four short double-helical elements and three loops (D, anti-codon, and T loops).
Source: Rfam by way of RNAcentral